RNAcentral lists this ribosomal RNA (524 nucleotides) under Isoldaia sp. MNHN PG9. RNAcentral's name for it is "partial 16S ribosomal RNA". The stretch from base 394 to 524 matches the Rfam family "Bacterial large subunit ribosomal RNA", at positions 2473 to 2600 of the family's 2925-position model. Lineage: Eukaryota; Metazoa; Arthropoda; Insecta; Blattodea; Pseudophyllodromiidae. The record is from RNAcentral.
CUUUUCUUGUUUUUAUUUGAAAUAUAACCUGCCCACUGAUAUUUAUUUAAUGGCCGCGGUAUUUUGACUGUGCAAAGGUAGCAUAAUCAUUAGUCUUUUAAUUAAGGGCUGGAAUGAAUGGUUGGACAAGAUGCUUACUGUCUUUUAUUUAUUUAAUUUAUAUUAGAAUUUAAUUAUUAUGUUAAAAGGCUUAAAUUUUUUUAUGGGACGAUAAGACCCUAUAGAAUUUUAUAAUAAUUAAUUUAUUUUUUUUGUUGGUAAUUUAUUUUUAUUUUAUUUAUUUUUUGAUUGGGGUGAUUUUUAGAUAAAUAUAACUCUUUAUAUUUUUAUAUACUUAUUUGUGUAAUAAUUUAUGAUCCAUAAUUUAUGAUUAAAAGACUAAAUUACCUUAGGGAUAACAGCGUAAUUUUAUUUGAGAGUUCAUAUUGACAAUAAAGAUUGCGACCUCGAUGUUGGAUUAAGGUAAUAAUUUUGGGUGUAGUGGCUUGAAACAAUUAAGUCUGUUCGACUUUUAAAUCCUUACA